GCCAACAUGGAAGGCCCGAUCGUUUUGGUGUUCAUUUGCUGUGUAUUUUUCUUGAAGUUCUUGAAUGGAAGUAUUAUUCCACGCAUCAUAAAUGGCAGCAAUGCCACCGCUAUGCAGUUGCCCCAUCAAGUGUUUUAUGAUACUUUUUACCUAGGAGACUAUAGUUGGACCAGUUUCUGGAGACCCCAGUGUGGAGGCACCAUAAUAUCCAGUAAAAUUAUACUCACAGCAGCUCACUGUUUCGAGGAUGAUCCCUACAUGUAAGAUCAUAAUUAGAUAACCUCUAAAUGCAUUUAAUUUUUGAUUUGAUUUCAAAAGAAUUGCCUUGAGAAUUUACUUUGGAGCUGUGAACAAAUCAAAUGCCACCGAAGAGGGUCAACAGCGUUUAAUUGUGGAUCGAAAGAGUGUGGUGAUCCAUCAGCAAUUCAAUUAUCAAAAACCUUUUUACAAUGAUAUUGCAAUCAUUAAACUACCCAUUAAUGUGCCUUUUAAUGAAUAUAUUCGACCCGCAAAGCUGCCACAACCCACCAAUAAUUAUGUGCAUGCAAAAGCCAUUGUUUCGGGAUGGGGUGCAUCUAAAGGUACAUUAAAUUCUUCGAUUUUUCCAGCAGAUAAAUAUGACUUAUCUCUGAGUUCGUUAUAGUUUCAGGAAAUUCGAAAAUCUUGCCGCAUAAUUUAAAAUAUUUUGAAAUCAACAUCAUAUCGAAUGAGGAAUGCUACGAACAGUGGUUAAAACGGGAAUACAUGUUCCCAGUGUCCUUCAUGUGCAUUGCUCCCAGCGUAAAUGUACCUUGCAUAGGAGAUUCUGGAGGACCUUUGGCUCUCAAGGAAGGAAAGGAUUUUAUUCUUUUGGGAAUUACCUCCCAUAGUGUCAUUGAGCCUUGCCGAAUCAAUCAACCCACGGUUUAUGUCAGAGUUUCUUCGUAUUUGGAUUGGAUACGGAAAAAUUCUGGUGGUAAAAUUUAGAUUUAUGUGAGAUCUACGUUAAAAAUAAAUUUCGAUCGAUUUCGGCAUCUAUU
This 1019-nucleotide long non-coding RNA is filed under the name Drosophila guanche. Lineage: Eukaryota; Metazoa; Arthropoda; Insecta; Diptera; Drosophilidae. The record is from RNAcentral.